RNAcentral lists this ribosomal RNA (465 nucleotides) under uncultured bacterium. RNAcentral describes it as "partial 16S ribosomal RNA". It matches the Rfam family "Bacterial small subunit ribosomal RNA", at positions 29 to 507 of the family's 1533-position model. The record is from RNAcentral.
AUGAACGCUGGCGGCGUGCUUCACCCCUGCAAGUCGAACGGUGAAGCCAAGCUUGCUUGGUGGAUCAGUGGCGAACGGGUGAGUAACACGUGAGCAACCUGCCCUGGACUCUGGGAUAAGCGCUGGAAACGGCGUCUAAUACUGGAUAUGAGCCUCUUCCGCAUGGUGGGGGUUGGAAAGAUUUUUUGGUCUGGGAUGGGCUCGCGGCCUAUCAGCUUGUUGGUGAGGUAAUGGCUCACCAAGGCGUCGACGGGUAGCCGGCCUGAGAGGGUGACCGGCCACACUGGGACUGAGACACGGCCCAGACUCCUACGGGAGGCAGCAGUGGGGAAUAUUGCACAAUGGGCGAAAGCCUGAUGCAGCAACGCCGCGUGAGGGAUGACGGCCUUCGGGUUGUAAACCUCUUUUAGCAGGGAAGAAGCGAAAGUGACGGUACCUGCAGAAAAAGCGCCGGCUAACUACGUG